CUAUUCUUAAAUAAUUGAUGAAAUCGCAUUUACGAGUGCCAUGCACUUGCAGGGUUGCAGGGUUUUGUAGUCACUGACCCCAGAGUUGCUCUCUGAUGGACAGGGUGUGGGUCACCAUGGAAACAAGCUCCUUGGCACGGCAGGUGGAAAGUGUGGAGAGGAGUGUGGCAUUCCUGCGGAGGGAGCAGCUGGCCUUGCUGCAUGGUCUGCACCUGGAGAUCCUGUCUUUACAGAAGCGCUGUGCUGAACUGACCUGUGAGCUGAAUGUGAAGCCCCCAGGAAGGACCCAAGCAGGUGAGCCCUUAAAUCUUUCUCUUCCUCCUUGGGUCAUGAUCCUUCCUUGAUUUAGUCUGAGGCUCUGCUUAUUUGACAGUGCUGAAGGGCUGACUAGUUUUUUCAUAGUAUUGUAAACAUCUGUAGAAUAUCUGAAAAAAACAUUGCAGCUGGAAAACACUAGAAUUUUGGAGGCUAUGUUCACAGACUGCAACAGGGCAGCCUACUGUGUUCAUAGGCCCUGGAAGUAGCUGCGAGGUCUUUUAGCAUGUACUGUAUCAGAUGAAAUUGGUACUGCUGGUCAGCAGGCUACAGCUGACCAUGUGAGCUGGUCCUAUAGUCCGUGACUGUUCCUUCCACCAGAUAUUUUGCAAUUGAUCUGUCUGUCUCUCCUCUCAGUCCAUUGCCUGUGCUUGUGUGUUUUUCUGUCUGUGUGUCCUGGAGGAGGGGUUUCCAUUACUGCUCAUGUGCAGGCAAGAGAUCAAGAUGUAGGAGUGGCUGAUUUGAGAGGUCACUAGAGAGUGGUUGCACAGACCUACACAAAGAGGGAAUGAGAGAAAGAGCGAGGAAGACAGGAAGGUCAAAUUACACAGCAUUUUCUAUUUUUGCAGCAUGACUUCACAUGGGAAGGUGGGAGGCACUGUCUGUGACUGGGGAUAAAACAGUGGGUGGGGGCAGGAUGGGGAAUGUUGCAUUAAUUGAUCCAGAAGGAGCAAGAGUUACCCACCCUGAGAGAGCGGGGCUGAAAAGCACUUUGUAUUGUAUUACUUUUAAGCCACGCCAACAAGGAUCUGUGUAGCACUUGAUGCAAUGGUGGCCUUAAAACAUCGAAAACAGCUGUGCUGCCAUUAAUUGUUGACAAAUUAGACAAUAUAAUCCUGCAUUGGCUCUUUCAUGAUGCUGCUGGGAGGUCAGAAGUCACACAUGGCUAAUGAAACAGCAUGGCAAAAUUCCCCCAAGUCUAAAUUCCAUGGUGACAGAUGGCAUGGCCUGUCAGUAGCCCCUUUUAUUGGGGAUUGAGAAGGCUGGGAUCUGCUUGGCAGACAAAAUGCCCUCUAAUCUGUGUCCAUA
RNAcentral lists this long non-coding RNA (1344 nucleotides) under Scleropages formosus (Asian bonytongue). RNAcentral describes it as "lncRNA (ENSSFOG00015027714.1)". The record is from RNAcentral. Lineage: Eukaryota; Metazoa; Chordata; Actinopteri; Osteoglossiformes; Osteoglossidae.